GAUGAACGCUGGCGGCGUGCCUAAUACAUGCAAGUCGAGCGAACAGACGAGGAGCUUGCUCCUCUGAUGUUAGCGGCGGACGGGUGAGUAACACGUGGAUAACCUACCUAUAAGACUGGGAUAACUUCGGGAAACCGGAGCUAAUACCGGAUAACAUGUUGAACCGCAUGGUUCAACAGUGAAAGACGGUCUUGCUGUCACUUAUAGAUGGAUCCGCGCCGCAUUAGCUAGUUGGUAAGGUAACGGCUUACCAAGGCAACGAUGCGUAGCCGACCUGAGAGGGGGAUCGGCCACAGUGGAACUGAGACACGGUCCAAACCCCUACGGGGGGCAGCGGUGGGGAAUCUUCCGAAAUGGGGGAAAGCCUGACGGAGAAACGCCGGGGGAGUGAAGAAGGUCUGCGGAUCGAAAAACUCUGUUAUUAGGGAAGAAAAAAUGUGUAAGUAACUAUGCACGUUUUGACGGUACCAAAUCAAAAAGCCCCGGCUAACUACGU
RNAcentral lists this ribosomal RNA (496 nucleotides) under uncultured bacterium. RNAcentral's name for it is "partial 16S ribosomal RNA". It matches the Rfam family "Bacterial small subunit ribosomal RNA", at positions 28 to 506 of the family's 1533-position model. The record is from RNAcentral.